Molecule: ribosomal RNA, 422 nt
Filed under: uncultured bacterium
Lineage: Bacteria
Description: bacterial SSU rRNA
Rfam family: Bacterial small subunit ribosomal RNA
Source: RNAcentral
CCUCGGGAGGCAGCAGUGGGGAAUUUUCCGCAAUGGGCGAAAGCCUGACGGAGCAACGCCGCGGUGAGGGAUGAAGGCCUCUGGGCUGUAAACCUCUUUUAUCAAGGAAGAAGAUCUGACGGUACUUGAUGAAUAAGCCACGGCUAAUUCCGUGCCAGCAGCCGCGGUAAUACGGGAGUGGCAAGCGUUAUCCGGAAUUAUUGGGCGUAAAGCGUCCGCAGGCGGCCCUUCAAGUCUGCUGUUAAAAAGUGGAGCUUAACUCCAUCAUGGCAGUGGAAACUGUUGGGCUUGAGUGUGGUAGGGGCAGAGGGAAUUCCCGGUGUAGCGGUGAAAUGCGUANAUAUCGGGAAGAACACCAGUGGCGAAGGCGCUCUGCUGGGCCAUCACUGACGCUCAUGGACGAAAGCCAGGGGAGCGAAAGG